AGGGAGAUCUGACAACCUACUUUUUUUUCAUUUAUUUUAUUAUUCUGAUUUUAUUUUUUAUUAUUCAUAUUUUUUUUGAUUCAUAUUAAAUUCAUUUUUAAUCCAAAAAAUACGGGACUUUCACCAAAAAUCUUUAAAUAUUUUCCUCUUCCAUAUUUUGAAUUAAAAUCAUUUUUUGGAUAAAUUUUGAUAUUUUUUGUGAAUUAAAUGAUUUUUAAAUUGUU
This 224-nucleotide long non-coding RNA is filed under the name Lathyrus oleraceus (garden pea). RNAcentral describes it as "Pisum sativum (pea) long non-coding RNA (PSAT_LNC030166)". Lineage: Eukaryota; Viridiplantae; Streptophyta; Magnoliopsida; Fabales; Fabaceae. The record is from RNAcentral.